RNAcentral lists this ribosomal RNA (410 nucleotides) under uncultured bacterium. Its description in RNAcentral is "bacterial SSU rRNA". It matches the Rfam family "Bacterial small subunit ribosomal RNA", at positions 402 to 809 of the family's 1533-position model. The record is from RNAcentral.
UGCAGGAUGAAGGUCCUAUGGAUUGUAAACUGCUUUUGUACGGGAAGAAAUCCCUCCUCGUGAGGAGGGCUGACGGUACCGUAAGAAUAAGGAUCGGCUAACUCCGUGCCAGCAGCCGCGGUAAUACGGAGGAUCCGAGCGUUAUCCGGAAUCAUUGGGUUUAAAGGGUCCGUAGGCGGCCUUGUAAGUCAGUGGUGAAAUCUCACGGCUCAACCGUGAAAUGGCCAUUGAUACUGCGGGGCUUGAAUUAUCGGGAAGCAGCUAGAAUAUGUAGUGUAGCGGUGAAAUGCUUAGAUAUUACAUGGAAUACCGAUUGCGAAGGCAGGCUGCUACCGGUGGAUUGACGCUGAUGGACGAAAGCGUGGGGAGCGAACAGGAUUAGAUACCCUGGUAGUCCACGCCGUAAACGA